UUCAUCCACACGGAUAAUAUGGUGAAUUGUCGAGCCAUGCGACGUUAAAUGAAGCGCUACGUGGGAGGCAACCCACAUUUUUACUUACUGAUGUUUUUUCAUUUUUGUUAUUUGUUUUAUUUCUUAGUCAGGUGAUAUAUAGUCUCUUAACAUGGGGAGGCAGAAGGAGAUACAUUCAAUUGAAGAAGAGCCGAUACAGAGAAUG
Molecule: long non-coding RNA, 205 nt
Filed under: Lathyrus oleraceus (garden pea)
Lineage: Eukaryota; Viridiplantae; Streptophyta; Magnoliopsida; Fabales; Fabaceae
Description: Pisum sativum (pea) long non-coding RNA (PSAT_LNC035842)
Source: RNAcentral